This 431-nucleotide unclassified non-coding RNA is filed under the name plant metagenome. Its description in RNAcentral is "partial contains 5.8S ribosomal RNA, internal transcribed spacer 2, and large subunit ribosomal RNA". The stretch from base 1 to 102 matches the Rfam family "5.8S ribosomal RNA", at positions 50 to 154 of the family's 154-position model. The record is from RNAcentral.
AAACUGCGAUAAGUAGUGUGAAUUGCAUUUAGUGAAUCAUCGAAUCUUUGAACGCACCUUGCACUCACUGGUAUUCCGGUGAGUACGCCUGUUUCAGUAUCAUUGAAAACACACAAUCAAAACAUUUUCUUUGGUUUGAUUGGCUUUGGGUCUAUCAAAAAGUUUGGCUUGUUUCUUACAAGCCAAGCGGCCUGAAAUAUAUUGUCUGGCUAAUUGCAUCGUUGAUGAUCGCUAUUAGACUUUGGCUUUUUUAAAUGAACUGGAGGUUGAUUAACCAGUUUUAGCUUUAGUCAAAUGGUCAUUGUAAAAAAAAUCUCGAUCUUGGCUAGGUGUUUAUAGCCGAAAAUUUUUUUUUGGCUAUAACCGAAACCAAUACAAUCACAUUUAGUUAUCGAUCUGAAAUCAGGUGGGACUACCCGCUGAACUUAAGC